AAUUUAUGAUAAAUUAAAUAUUUUGUAUGGCAUUUCAAUAAUUGUUCAAAAGUUAACGAAGAUGAGCAGAGAUGGGGCAAUUGUAGCACCCAAAAGCUUAAAAAUGAGCAGAGAUGGGGCAAUUGCAGCACCCAAAAGCCGCCGGACAUUAAAUUUUGUGGCUGGUUUGCACGUUGAAAAGGAAUCUGAGGAGGCCAACCAUUUCUUGAGGCGAAGAUUCAUGCUUCAUUUCUUCGGAGAAUCUGCGCUGAUUAUGGCAAGAACUUCUAUUUGGGAACUCUGCUGAUGACGAAGGAGCGGCAGAGAGCACUAUAUGGAAUUUUGAAGAUAACCCAUCUCAGAAAAGCCAUGAAAAUGAGAACAGAUGAACUUGUGGACGUCCCCAAGUGCUUGAUGGGUGCAAAGAAUGUUUGCAAGACAUCUUUGAAGGGUGUCCCUAUGACGUGCUGGAAGCUGCUUUUAAGUCCGCACAACGUCCAAAUUUCGCACACAUAUCCCUGCUAUGAACUAGGUUGUACCUAUUCCGAUUCAAAAUGAAAAAAAGCUAGGAGCCCUAAAGAAGAAAGGGGCAGGAGCACUCACCCUUUAAAGCGGUUUGGAAUAACUUUCUAAACACUUCCAAACACAUUUUUUCUUCACAUAAUUACACUUUUUUAAGUACUCACAAAGUCAUCCUUAUCUUUUGAUUGAGGAUAUGAUAGUUUUGAAGAACUGUAUUGGUACUGUUACCAUGUAGCUGGAACUGCGAGGCUAAUGAGUGUGCCUGUUAUGGUAAUUGCAUCUGAUUCUUUGCUUC
Long non-coding RNA from Cucurbita pepo subsp. pepo (vegetable marrow), 796 nucleotides. RefSeq lists it as uncharacterized. NCBI's taxonomy places the organism in Eukaryota, Viridiplantae, Streptophyta, Magnoliopsida, Cucurbitales, Cucurbitaceae. The record is from RefSeq and is a predicted model, not a curated record.